This 30-nucleotide non-coding RNA is filed under the name Mus musculus (house mouse). RNAcentral also lists the same sequence under 1 other name. Lineage: Eukaryota; Metazoa; Chordata; Mammalia; Rodentia; Muridae. The record is from RNAcentral.
GGAUGUAGCCAAGUGGAUCAAGGCAGUGGA